This 544-nucleotide long non-coding RNA is filed under the name Elaeis guineensis (African oil palm). Its description in RNAcentral is "long non-coding RNA (EGUI_LNC018595)". Lineage: Eukaryota; Viridiplantae; Streptophyta; Magnoliopsida; Arecales; Arecaceae. The record is from RNAcentral.
CAACAUUUUGUGGAUCUAAAGAAGAACUAUUUACACAUUUCCGACAUGGACAUAAAAUUUUUCCAUUCAAACUACUUUUCUCCAUACCAAAUUUAAUGAAGUCAUGAACUCCAUCUAAAUAUUCUUUACUAUUCCUUGGUUUAUUUAUCCAACUUUUGUCCAUUGUAGGAUAAAAAUGACCGAACUUGCAAUUUAUCUAAAAAUAAAAAAAUUAUACAAUCUAUAUUAAUGCAAUGAGUAAAAAAUAUCAGUCAUUUUAUAAAAUUCAAAAAAAUAACAGCUAGAUAAAGUUUACAUAGUAAAUGCUUGCUAUCAUCAACUAAUAGGUAAAGAAGGUCCUAUCCCAUUCAGAAAAUGUAUUAAUUCUAUAGGUCAAUUACAAAAAUCAAAUGAUAUGCAACAAGAGCCAAAAAAAAUUUCGGCAGUAUUUCCCCUUAGUUCUUCCGUAUAGGAAGAACAAAAGAAAAAUACCAUCCAAAAUUUAUUCCAAACCCUCAGCAUACCAUUUGAUUAUGGUAAUGACCUAUAGAAUUACUCACAUUUU